RNAcentral lists this ribosomal RNA (341 nucleotides) under uncultured bacterium. RNAcentral describes it as "bacterial SSU rRNA". It matches the Rfam family "Bacterial small subunit ribosomal RNA", at positions 30 to 372 of the family's 1533-position model. The record is from RNAcentral.
AUUGAACGCUGGCGGCAUGCUUUAUACAUGCAAGUCGUGCGGCAGCGCGGGGGCAACUCCGGCGGCGAGCGGCGAACGGGUGAGUAAUACAUAGGAACGUAUCCUGAAAUGGGGGAUAGCUCGGCGAAAGCCGGAUUAAUACCGCAUACGCUCCACGGAGGAAAGCAGGGGAUCGCAAGACCUUGCGUUUCUGGAGCGGCCUAUGUCUGAUUAGCUAGNGGCGGGUAAUAGCCCACCAAGGCGACGAUCAGUAGCUGGUCUGAGAGGAUGAUCAGCCACACUGGGACUGAGACACGGCCCAGACUCCUACGGGAGGCAGCAGUAGGGUAAUUUUGGACAAG